This 431-nucleotide ribosomal RNA is filed under the name uncultured bacterium. Its description in RNAcentral is "partial 16S ribosomal RNA". It matches the Rfam family "Bacterial small subunit ribosomal RNA", at positions 30 to 507 of the family's 1533-position model. The record is from RNAcentral.
CGACCGCUGGCGGCAUGCCUACCACAUGCACGUCGAACGAGACCUUCGGGUCUAGUGGCGCACGGGUGCGUAACGCGUGGGAACCUGCCCUUAGGUUCGGAAUAACUCCCCGAAAGGGGUGCUAAUACCGGAUAAUGUCUUCGGACCAAAGAUUUAUCGCCUUUGGAUGGGCCCGCGUUGGAUUAGCUAGUUGGUAGGGUAAAAGCCUACCAAGGCGACGAUCCAUAGCCGGUCUGAGAGGAUGAUCAGCCACGCUGGGACUGAGACACGGCCCAGACUCCUACGGGAGGCAGCAGUGGGGAAUAUUGGACAAUGGGCGAAAGCCUGAUCCAGCAAUGCCGCGUGAGUGAUGAAGGCCUUAGGGUUGUAAAGCUCUUUUACCCGGGAUGAUAAUGACAGUACCGGGAGAAUAAGCUCCGGCUAACUCCGUG